CGAGCGCAACCACAUCUUUAGUUGCCAUCAGGUUAUGCUGGGACUCUAGAGAAACUGCCCGUGAUAAGCGGGAGGAAGGUGUGGAUGACGUCAAGUCCUCAUGGCCCUUACGGGUUGGGCUACACACGUGCUACAAUGGCCUACAAUGGGAAUCUCCAAAAGUCUCAGUUCGGAUUGGGGUCUGCAACUCGACCCCAUGAAGUCGGAAUCGCUAGUAAUCGCGUAACAGAUGACGCGGUGAAUACGUUCCCGGGCC
RNAcentral lists this ribosomal RNA (256 nucleotides) under uncultured bacterium. RNAcentral's name for it is "partial 16S ribosomal RNA". It matches the Rfam family "Bacterial small subunit ribosomal RNA", at positions 1093 to 1380 of the family's 1533-position model. The record is from RNAcentral.